RNAcentral lists this ribosomal RNA (253 nucleotides) under uncultured bacterium. RNAcentral's name for it is "partial 16S ribosomal RNA". It matches the Rfam family "Bacterial small subunit ribosomal RNA", at positions 524 to 776 of the family's 1533-position model. The record is from RNAcentral.
UGCGUAGGGGGCAAGCGUUGUCCGGAAUCAUUGGGCGUAAAGAGCGUGUAGGCGGCCCGGUAAGUCCGCUGUGAAAGUCCAGGGCUCAACCCUGGGAUGCCGGUGGAUACUGUCGGGCUCGAGUCCGGAAGAGGAGUGUGGAAUUCCUGGUGUAGCGGUGAAAUGCGCAGAUAUCAGGAAGAACACCAAUGGCGAAAGCAGCUUUCUGGGACGGUACUGACGCUGAGACGCGAAAGCGUGGGGAGCGAACAGG